Molecule: long non-coding RNA, 2289 nt
Organism: Cephus cinctus (wheat stem sawfly)
Lineage: Eukaryota; Metazoa; Arthropoda; Insecta; Hymenoptera; Cephidae
Exons: 4
Source: RefSeq, a predicted model, not a curated record
GGAGACUUGAAUAAAUGUGAAAGAAACAGAGGAGAUAACACGGUGAGGCAAACUUUGAGAAAGACGUCGAUUCGCUAGGUUGGGAUUAAACGAGAGACGUAAACAGACCCUUGGCGCCUUUGGGAAUAUGUAAAAAAAAAGAUUGCCCCACUCUUGACAUGUUUAAAAUUCUAUAUGGAAUAUCUGCUGGAGAAAUGGGUCUGUAACCUCCAGUGAGAGGAGAGGCUGUGGUCCUUGUGUGAUAACGGUAUUGUGCUUUGUCUCUUUUUCGAAGAAAAUGACAUGGGAGAGAGGUGGGUGAAGAAAAGUAUGAAACGAGGGCAAGUGGCAACAAGGAGUAAAGGGCAAGUGUAAGGGUGAGAGAGUGGCAGAAGGGGAGGAUGGUAAGAGAGGGUGAGGGAGCCAAAAACCACUGGCUCAAUGGCUCAGCGGUAGUUUGUAGCUGAGGGGUAAAGCGGGGAGCAUCGACUCUCUUCUGAUUUACCGCUGGAGAUUUGCUCCAGGUUCUUGUUUAUUUUGCCCGAGCUGACCGUAAUUUUUCACGAGCACGCUUUCAUGCUUUCCUCUCGCGUAAGCGGACCCUCGACACCCUGUCUACGCCAGCUAUGCCUCCUUUUUCCUCCUUUCUAAACCGUCUUCUAAGCCUAACCUCACCUUACCCGCGUCGUAGGAACCCAACGUCCUUCAGCCACUUUUUCGUAAAUUGCUCGUGUCUGGAUACUCCGCGAGAGGGAGAGAUAUGUUCUAUGGUAAAACGACAAAAACGAAAGGGCCAAUUGACUCGACGGUCGUACGUUGGUUAAACGUGUGAAUAAAUUGUUUUAUCGGCACCUGAAUUACGGGGGAUUUCGUACCUUUGAAUGUCAGCUGCAAGCUUCACCGUUAUUCAUCACGUUCCUACGAGGGCAUCGACGCAGAUUCGUUAAAAGCCUUCGAUGAUGCGGGACAGCCUGUCAAAAUUUUUUUUAACUUUGAUGUUUCCGGGUCGUCGCUUUCUCGUCGUCAUUGCAAACCUUCGUAAACGUAUUUUCCUACCAGUUCGCGAGGAGACGAAUUGUUUAUCGAUCCGCGCACAAUUCUAUCGUCCUUCUACCGGGCUCAUCACGUCGACUGAACUUCAAUCGAACAAUUCAAUCGUCCCGAGGCUUAGUUCACGUUUAUGCUAACGUAACUGUCAGAGAUCGUCGACGUGUGGCGCCACCUCCUGCUCUUAUAUGGAAUUCAGUGCCCCGCAUGGAAUUGUGGGUCGUGAAGCUUAAUGGCAUUGCGAGAGUAUCUUAUUACUGUUAGAAAAUAGUGGAGAUCACGAGUGGAGGAUACUGAAAAACUGUACUGAAUACGUGAAGAGACAUAGUUAUGACUGUUAUGAAUGAUUCAAGAUCCGUCCGCUACUUCGAAUUGACAGUUGGAUCGAUUUAUACUGCAGGAAAGUAAGAAGAUUCCCUUCAAAAGAAAUCAGUAAAAGAAAGCUGGGAAUGGAAGUUGGCCAUCUCCAAGAUUUAUAAUUGUUGCCAGCCUGAAAGCGGCCAAUCAAAAAGUCCACGUAAUAAAAGACCAAGAAAGUUAAUGGUGUUGGGGCACAAUUUUACGAGUCGGGUGCCCCGACCGCAAACUCCACUAAAUAGAAAAGCACACAACCCCUCCUACUUUAUAUCGAUUUCAAAAGAUCCCAACCUCCCCCUGUUUCCCCUCUAUCCACCCUUAUCUCGUUCACUCUGAUUACAGACAACCCCUAGGCUUUACGCAACUAGACUUUUAUACAAGUUUUAAAAAAUGAACAACUUUUUGGGAAUUUUAGAUUCUAUGUUGUCUUACAUCUGUUGGAUUCCGUUGUGGUUUGUCUGAAGGAAGAGUUUCACAGGAGCUGAAGUAAAUCUUGAAACAGGAUCGAUCGAUCAGGUCUGCUCCAGAAGCCGAUCACCUGAACAACUCCCAAAAGGUAUAGGGAUUGGGAUGAGGGACGAAGUCGAAACAGCCCAUUUAUAAAAUUGCUACAUUUGGCCAAUGGGAUUUUCCUAGGAAGGUUUCUCGCUACCUCGAUCGUUUGUCUCUCGGCGUAUCGACCACCUCAACUUCCUCUCUCUUCCUCUUCACACUUUUCCCGCGAAGAGAAUAAAGAUGGAAGCCACCCUUAGCCCCUGUUACACUGCCAGCGAUCACCUGGAAAUGAUAACGGGACACAAGGUUCAGGACGCAGCUGCCAUAAUUUUCGAAUGAACGAAAACUGUCGAAGCAUGUAAAGGAAAAAAGUUGAAAAAAAAUUUCCAGUUUAAUUGGAAAUAGCAGGAG